Molecule: ribosomal RNA, 254 nt
Filed under: uncultured bacterium
Lineage: Bacteria
Description: partial 16S ribosomal RNA
Rfam family: Bacterial small subunit ribosomal RNA
Source: RNAcentral
UACGGGGGGGGCAAGCGUUGUUCGGAAUUACUGGGCGUAAAGCGUGCGCAGGCGGUUUCUUAAGUCAGAUGUGAAAGCCCCGGGCUUAACCUGGGAACUGCGUUUGAAACUGGGAGACUUGAGUGUGGCAGAGGGGGGUGGAAUUCCGACGUGUAGCAGUGAAAUGCGUAGAUAUGUGGAGGAACACCGAUGGCGAAGGCAGCCCCCUGGGUUAACACUGACGCUCAUGCACGAAAGCGUGGGGAGCAAACAGG